AGAGUCCUGAGAGGAAACGGACAAAGACUUUAACAGCUUGUAGCUUCACUUUUUCCCACAGUGUCCUAAUGAGGAGGCGAGGCUGCAGUGAUACGACAUUACAGAUGCGGUGGAGUUUUACAUCCCUGGUUUAGUUUAGCUACGUUUAUUUAUUAGAAAAAUACCACAAAUAAAAAAAGGGUUAGGGUUACGGUGAUAAAAUGACAGGAGAGGAAGGCAGCCUGAAAGGCUCAUUCAGAGUCCUCCCCUGUUUCAGCUGGAAUCAUUAUUAAAGAAAAACAAUACAAACAACACACAGCUAACAAAGAAAUGAUAUCUUCUGUACUUUGUUUUUAAGAAAUAAAACCUGUUAACAAGUAUUAGUAUUAAGUAUUUAUCACUUCCAGUUAGUUAGUUAGUUUAACGUUAGAACUGUUCAGAACCAGAGUUUAACAUUAGAACUGUUCGGUACCAGAGUUUAACAUUAGAACUGUUCGGUACCAGAGUUUAACAUUAGAACUGUUCUGAACCAGAGUUUAACAUUAGAACUGUUCGGUACCAGAGUUUAACAUUAGAACUGUUCUGAACCAGAGUUUAACAUUAGAACUGUUCGGUACCAGAGUUUAACAUUAGAACUGUUCAGAACCAGAGUUUAACGUUAGAACUGUUCGGUACCAGAGUUUAACGUUAGAACUGUUCGGUACCAGAGUUUAACAUUAGAACUGUUCGGUACCAGAGUUUAACAUUAGAACUGUUCAGAACCAGAGUUUAACGUUAGAACUGUUCGGUACCAGAGUUUAACAUUAGAACUGUCCUGUACCAGAGCUUAACAUUAGAGUCCUGUUAGAACUGUUCAGAACCAGAGUUUAAUGUUAGAACUGUUCAGAACCAGAGUUUAACAUUAGAACUGUUCAGUACCAGAGUUUAACAUUAGAACUGUUCGGUACCAGAGUUUAACGUUAGAACUGUUCAGAACCAGAGUUUAACAUUAGAACUGUUCGGUACCAGAGUUUAACAUUAGAACUGUUCAGUACCAGAGUUUAACGUUAGAACUGUUCAGAACCAGAGUUUAACGUUAGAACUGUUCGGUACCAGAGUUUAACAUUAACAUUAACUGCCAGUAUCACUGACCCACCAGUACCACUGACCCACCAGUAUCACAGACCAGUAUCACUGACCCACCAGUACCACUGACCCACCAGUACCACUGACCCACCAGUGUCACUGACCAGUAUCACUGACCCACCAGUACCAUUGACCCACCAGUAUCACUGACCCACCAGUAUCACAGACCAGUACCACAGACAGACAGUACCUCCGUCUGUUCUCCACUCUAACACUAUCACAUGCCUCUUUAUCAGCACGUGUUUGUUCUGCAGUCAGAAUCAAGUUUCGGGCUAACCACCGAGGGCGAACACGGCAGGCCCUGCAGGGGUGGCUGGGAGGCCAUGUCUGCCACGGUGAGAACAGGAUCGGGGCUGUAACUGGAUCCACUGGUCCGGAGGCAGCGGAGACUGGUCAGGGAUCAAAGUUUCGUCUGUCUGAUCUUAUCUGGCUCGAUGAAUGACAAGGAGGAAUGAAACAGCUACAGGGAGUUCACACCUUCAUGAGAGCAGGCAGCAGCUGAGGCUGAUGGGAGGGGAACACAGAGACGUCGGGCGCCAGCGAGCUGAGACUGAUAGCGCAGAGCGAUGACCUUGACACGUUGAGUUUCUACAACGGGAGAUUAGAUUUGAGCCGCCAGAGUCUGAAUGCUUCGUACUGCUGCUCACUGAACCCAGCUGUGCAGAGGAGGCACUCACACAAACCCGACUUCAACCAGUCCACUGAAAUAAAGAGCUAAUACCCCGGCCCCUCAGGGACCUGCUGGGACUGAAGCACCGAACUAAUGUCCUACCACGGACAGCAAAGACAGUCUGAAGUGGAAAGGUAGAAAUGUGAUGGUCAGUGUAACAGUAAUGGUCUACACUGAUUGGGGCAAUACACAUUCCAACACACAUUUUAUUUGGGUUGCAGAAUUUCUUCCUCCAGUUAAAUGCACUUUCCUCAUUUAUUAAGUAAUUACUAAGUAGUAUUAAGUAUUUCAAAUGUGUAUAUUGUUUUGCUGAUGAUGGAGAAAAGAGACCCUUAACUCCUGAUA
This is a long non-coding RNA of Dicentrarchus labrax (European seabass), 2119 nucleotides long. RefSeq lists it as uncharacterized. Lineage: Eukaryota; Metazoa; Chordata; Actinopteri; Moronidae. The record is from RefSeq and is a predicted model, not a curated record. The transcript has 3 exons.